Molecule: ribosomal RNA, 486 nt
Filed under: uncultured bacterium
Lineage: Bacteria
Description: bacterial SSU rRNA
Rfam family: Bacterial small subunit ribosomal RNA
Source: RNAcentral
AUUGAACGCUGGCGGCAUGCCUUACACAUGCAAGUCGAACGGUAACGCGGGGCAACCUGGCGACGAGUGGCGAACGGGUGAGUAAUGCAUCGGAACGUGCCCAGUAGUGGGGGAUAGCCCGGCGAAAGCCGGAUUAAUACCGCAUACGACCUACGGGUGAAAGCGGGGGACCGUAAGGCCUCGCGCUAUUGGAGCGGCCGAUGUCAGAUUAGGUAGUUGGUGGGGUAAAGGCCUACCAAGCCUACGAUCUGUAGCUGGUCUGAGAGGACGACCAGCCACACUGGGACUGAGACACGGCCCAGACUCCUACGGGAGGCAGCAGUGGGGAAUUUUGGACAAUGGGCGCAAGCCUGAUCCAGCCAUGCCGCGUGCGGGAAGAAGGCCUUCGGGUUGUAACGCUUUGUCAGGGAAGAAACGCCUUAGGAUAAUACCUUGAGGUAAUGACGGUACCUGAAGAAUAAGCACCGGCUAACUACGUGCCAGCAG